GGCUGGCCCGAAGUUAGUUAUCUCAGUUGACUGUUCACAGUUACAGAUCGAACUCCUUCUACUCUUUACCCCCUUCUCACUGCUGCACUUGACUAGUGUAAA
Y RNA from Pongo abelii (Sumatran orangutan), 102 nucleotides. It matches the Rfam family "Y RNA". From Rfam's summary of the family: Y RNAs are components of the Ro ribonucleoprotein particle (Ro RNP), in association with Ro60 and La proteins. The Y RNAs and Ro60 and La proteins are well conserved, but the function of the Ro RNP is not known. The record is from Ensembl. NCBI's taxonomy places the organism in Eukaryota, Metazoa, Chordata, Mammalia, Primates, Hominidae.